Molecule: long non-coding RNA, 9031 nt
Organism: Homo sapiens (human)
Lineage: Eukaryota; Metazoa; Chordata; Mammalia; Primates; Hominidae
Exons: 4
Source: RefSeq, a predicted model, not a curated record
UCCUGGUAGAUGGCUUUAUGUACAUGCACAGUAGCAAAGGCGUACUUGCUGUCAGUGUAAAUGUUAAUACGUUUAUUCUUACUUUAUCAGAGAGCCUGAGUGAGGGCGAUGAAUUGAGCCUUUUGUGCUGAGGUGUUCGCUGGUAAAGCUUGAGCUUACAACACAUCUGUCUCCGUGGUAACAGCUGCACUGACUUUUCAUACUUCCUGCUUGAGGAAGCUGCUACUGUCUGUGAACAAGGCGGCAUCUGCCUUUUCUAGGGGCACAGCUUGAAGAUCAGAUCGGCCAGUUUCGAUAGUUUCUAACAGUUCUUGACAGUCAUGAGCAGGAAUAGUGCAGUCUGAGUCAGAAAGUAGUGUAGCUGGAUUGAAACACUUUGUGGGAGAGAAAGUCAAACGAGGCUGAUCUAACAGUAAACUUCGAUACUGCAAGAUGCGAGCAUUUGACAUCUAUUUGCCAGAAGCAUUUUGUAGUAAGGUCUUUAAGGCGUGAGGAGCUGUAAGUGUUAAAUUUUGGCUUAGAGUUAACUUAUCAUCUUCUUGGGCCAGGCUUGCUGUAGCCGCUAUGGCUCGCAGACAACUUGGCCAUCUAGAGGCCACAGGAUCUAGCCUCUUAGAUAAAUAGGCCACUGGGCGUCUUUAGGGUCUUAGAGUCUGAGUAAGCACGUCUUUAGCAACUCCUUGGCUUUUAUGGAGAUAUUAGGGAGGGCUAAAGCAGGGGCUUCAGUUAAUGCUAAAUUAACAGGCUAUUUCAUUCUGUACUUCUUGGAUAGCUGCCACUAAGAUUUUUGUUUGUCUUUUGAAUGCUUUAUCAGCGGCCUUUUCAGCUGCCUGUGUUGCUUGUUUUUGUUUUUUAAACUUUUGAUUGUCAAAAACUUUUUGGGCUAUUUCUAAAAGCUGACUGAUAUUUAUUCUAGCAAAUCUUUUUAGUUUUUGGAGUUUCUUUUUAAUAUCCGGGGCUGCCUGAGCCACAAAUGCUAAAUGAAGAGCACGGCUAUUUUCGGGAGCUGCCGGGUCCAAAGGGGUGUAAAUCCGAUAAGCCUCCUGGAGGCGCUCUAAAAACGUUCUUGGUGACUUAUCGGGCCUUUGGACAACUUCGGUCGUCUUAGACAAGUUUAUGGGUUUCUGAGCGGCUCUUUUAAUACUUGCGAGGAGAUACCGGUGAAAAUCGUCUAAAGCUCCCUUUCUACUUGAGGAAUUUGGGUUCUGGUUAGGCCGGGUAGAGGGAAAGACCUCCUCAAGGAGGUCUCUAACUUCUUCUUCCGGUCCGUUGGCUGAUGUGAGGAAGUACUUUUUGGCUUCUUUUUGGAUACGUUCCUUCUUUUCAGAGGUGAAAAGGGUUAAAAGGAGCUGUUGGCAAUCAUCUUAGGUGGGCGGGUUGAGUCCGGAGUACAGACUGUCAGAGAGGUCAAAGCCUGGGGCUUUUCAGAGAAGGGAGGAUUAUGGGUUUUCGAAUUAUAUAAGUCAGAAGUAGAAAAAGAACACAAACUAAGAAGGGUGCUGAGCGCUCGUCACCUGGAGGGACUUGUGCCUCUCUCAGUGGUAGUAGAGGGGCUACUUCUUCCUGCCACGGUCAUGAUUGAGAGGCAAUGGGUGGCGAGCCUACAGGGGACGUCGUCGAGCAGACAUGGGAUAACUUUAAGGGAGAAGGCUGGUUGUAAGGCGGUGGGACUGGGUGAGGGAGACUCUCCUCUUCUUCAGAGGGAGGCAGUACAGGGGGAGCUGAACCGGCUGAGGGUUGAGGCGAAAAUGCGGUCUGGCUUAGGAGGACCUUGGAGGUAGAAUUAUGAAUGGCGCAUGAACGGAGCCAUGGAGGGGGCUCCUGACUAAACUUAGCUAUUGAUCAAUGUAGGGAAACUGAUCAGGGUGGCUAGGAGUUUCAGUAACAACCUGCCACACAGCUUGAACAAUUGUGAGGUUCAAUGGCCCUUCAGGGGGCCACUCGACUCUAAACUUUGGCCAUUUUAUUUUGCACAGUGUCUGGAGCUUGCCUUUUUUAAGGCGGACUUUAUAAUCCUCUGAGGAACUGAGAGGAAAAUUCUGCAGCAUACAUUGGAGAGGGCUUUAACUUUACAAGGCUGGGAGGAAGUGUUUCUUUCUUUUUUUUUUUUGAAGGCAAUUUAAUAAGAUUGGAGCAUAGAUAUUAAACUUAGCAUGGACAGAGAAACUUAUUUCUUGGGGGACUGGAGUAGUGAAAGAACAGUAUAAAUAUGACUAGAAAGAGCAGAAAAACUUACAACAGCUAAUACUACUUGCUACAUUGCUGUAGCUUUAAGAUUGAGGGAGGAGGACUAGAGCCAGCCUGAGAUCUUCUGGGUCAGUUUGAUCUAGGCGUUCUUCUUCUUCUUCUAGAUCUGCACUUUAAAUACUUUUGGUGUCUUUAUGACUUAAACGCAAAUAGCCUAAACUUAGCUUUUUCUUUUAAGGGUUUAAAGAGUGAGAGCAGAGCCAAGUCCUGGAGACGGUAAACUUGCUGUCGCACCGUAAAACGAGAUGUGCGGGAUAGGGGGCAGGGACAAGGUGGAAAAGGACUACUCUGAUCAUUUUGAAGAUGGGAGAGUAGCCACAGAGGAACAGAGUAAGAAUCUUAACGAAGUAAAGCAGUACGGGCGUACGUUUCUUUACACAGUGUUUUACUUAAGGGCACAGGAAAAGUUACAGAAUGACAAGAGAGGUGAGCAAGGAAAUCUGCAGGGUGGCUGUUUUGAACUCACUACUGGUUUAUUUAGAGGAGGUCUAAUCACUUGGACGAGGAGUAUGGCGAUCUAAAUACUUACAACUUUCAUGGUGCUAGAAAUCUUAAUCAGGCAAAUGUUUUUCACACUUGUUCUUGUAACAACACUUGACUUGCUUCUGGCAGAAAAGACAGGACUGUGGUGGUCAGCCUAAAUGAUUGAUGAGAAAUUUAACCUCCUGUGACAAAAAAUCAGCACUAAGGACUUUGAAGAAGUUUUUACUUAGACGUCUUGGGCAAUAUCAACGUCUUGACAUGCAAAACUUUGACAACUACUAACAAGACAAUAGACACUGAACAGAACAAUCAAUAUAAAACAAACAGUUGACUUUAGGGCAUGUAAACAGUUAUGACAGUUUCUUCCUUUUUUUUUUUUCUUAGACAGACAAGGAGAGGGUUUCCUGUGAUGGGAUCAGUCAGAUGCCUGCCUGGCCACUCCCCCUGAGGGGACCUGGGCUCCUCUUACCAUUGGCAGGCCGGUAUAAACUUGCGGCUCAGAUCAAGCUAUGCCUGAUGCUGCCUUAAGCCUUAUGAGGUCGCCAAGGAACCGCAGGUGAGGAUUCAGGAGAUAAUUCUGCAAACAGAACUUCCUGAGAACUGAGAUGGGGGAAAUCGCUGGUAUUAGAAGAGUGAAAAGAAACUCCUGGAGGGCAGAGGCAUGCCUGCCAUCUUCAUCAAUGCAUUACCACCACCCAACACUAUCGGGGGACCUGCCCUGAUAAUCAGCAUGUAAGGAGGCUUAACACAACUCUGUAUGGGAACAGUCAGGUUGGAGGUAAGUAAAGCAGAAUGUCUGGGUCUACAAUGAUACUGAGAGUGGGACGGUAGUGGGAACAACAGUCAAAAUAGUUUUUCCUUCCCAUACUCGCAGUUCAGACAUGGCAAUAGCCAAUUUCCAAAAUUCUGGGUGUUCUGGGCUCAGAAUAGGGAGUAUCAUACGAGGCCUGGGGGGGUGGUAAUGCCUUUAUCUUCCCAUUUUAAGGGAAAGAAUGAGCUGGUCCUUGUAUGCAAAGUAGAAUGAUUAUUCUCUUUCUCCUGGUAAGAAAUAAAAUAAGUAGCCUCCAGGCAUUCCCUUCCACGGAGGAGCAAUUGUUUUUGAAAUAGCCCUUUGGUGCCCAGUCUAUUACUAAACCAUAUGAGUCAUUUUUCAAUAUUACUGCAUGUGAGUUAACACAAUCUUCCCAAAUUAAAGUUUUAGAUGGGCCCUCAAAAUGUUUAGGGCAUGGUUUUCCUGCAGGUUUAUAUUGAAAGUAUGCGGUACCUCCCAUUACUCCUCCUUUCAUUUGUUUUAAAGGAGAAAGGGAGAGGCCAGAGACCAAAUGUCCCAUUUUAUCUGUAGCAGAUGUUUCUAAAAGAUAAGCAGCCCAGAACUGAGUUUCUAGAUGGAUGCAACCAGGUGCAUGUCGGAGGCACAGAGGUGGGUAUUUCUAACCCAUGGUAACAUUAAAUGCAGUGCCUUCUUCUCCUGGUUGAGCAGGGCAAGGGUCGUCUAUGGCUCCAGGCAUCCACACACUAUCGUUAGUGUAGAUUUCUGCGGGAGCAUCUAUCCAGGUGAGAGGAUGAAUGAGUGGAGGAAAAGGCACAUAAGCCCAAUAAGAAUAAUUCUGUGUAGCAGGUAAAUCAGUGUGAGAGGAAACUGGUGAGACAGAAAGUAUAAGGAGGAGAAUCAUUAAAUAAAACCUAGUGUAAGCGAGAUGGAGUGCUGAAGGAGAAAGAGAAGAACAGAGGGAUGUUAUUUUCAGGCUAAUAGAAAUGGUGAGAUAUUUAGGUUUGUAAGGAGAAAAAGAAAGGUAAUCAGGAGAAGUGUGAUUAGUUAGAUGGGUCUCCAAUGCCAUCAGGGAGGACUGAUUUACACCCAUUGUGAUUUGGUGUGCCUGUUUCUGAGGAGUCGGCACAGAUCUCACCACAUCUGAAGGCAGUCUCUGACACAGACGUCUCUUCACUGUGGUUUUGUCAGUAUUCACAAGAAGCUUGAGUCUUCUGGUAGGUACCCAGACAGGGGAUUGAUGAUCUCCUGGUGAAACACAAGCAUAUCCUCUUCCGCAGGUUAAGUAGAAUAAGAGACAAUAUUUAAAGGUUUGGGGAAAUCUUGUAAGGCAGUAAUCACAGCAAUUAACUCCGCCUUUUGAACGGAAGUAUAAGAGGUAGAAAUAAGUUUGUCUGCAGGACCUAUAUAGCCAGCACUGCCUUACUAGAGCCAUCAGUGAAUACUGUAACGGUCUCAGGAAUGGGUUGAUUUUUGGUUAAUAGAGGAACCACCCAAGACGUUAUUUUUAUAAAAUCAAACAAUUUGUUUUUUUGGAUAAUGAUUGUCAAUAACACCAAUAAAAUCAGCCAAGUGAAUUUGCCACAGUACAGAAUGUUGAAAGGCAGCUUGAACUUCGAGCUGAUUUAAAGGAACUACAAUUACAUUUGGAUCAAAUCCAGAAAUUUGAAGUAUUCUGCACCGAACCUGUCCAAUUAAUAUGGCUAUUUGGUCUAGAUAAAGUUUUUGACACAGAAUGAGGAAGAAAACACCACUCCACUAAAUCAUUAUGUUGAACUAUUAGUGCAGUAGGGGAGUGUAAUGAAGCAAAAACCAGAAGCUGAAGAGGCUGAAAUGGCUGUACUCUAGAUAACUGGGCAGUCUGGAUUUUUUCCUCUACAAAUUCCAGAUCUAGUAAAGCCUCAGGGGUCAAAGUCCUAGGGCUGCAGAGAUCAGAAUCUCCCCGCAGCAUAGAGAACAAGUUAGACAGGGCAUAGGUCGGAAUGCCUAAAGUAGGUCUUAAAUAAUUAAUGUUACCCAAAAGUUUUUGGAAGUCAUUUAAAGUUUUUAAAGGAUCUCUCCUAAUUUGAACUUUUUGAGGUUGUAUACAUUUUUUAUCGACCACCAUUCCUAAAUAUUGAACAGGAGUGGUCUGUUGAAUUUUAUCCUGAGCAAUGUGUAAUCCAGCCUCUGUAACACAGCGGCUCAAAAUUUGGUAACAGUCAAUUAAUUUUUUAUCAGUGGGGGCAGAAAUUAAAAUAUCAUCAAUAUAAUGAAGAAUAUAGGCGUCGGGAAAUCGGGCUCAAACUGGUGAAAGCUCUUGUCCAACAUAAAGCUGGCAGAUUGUAGGGCUAUUUAGCAUUCCCUGAGGAAGUACUUUCCAUUGAUAACGAGCUACAGGCUCCUGAUUAUUGAUAGAUGGUACAGUAAAAGCAAAUUUUUCACAAUCCGAUUUAUGUAAAGCGAUAUGAAAAAAAAAAAACUCUUCAAGAUCACUAACUAUGAGAGGCCAAUCUUUAGGUAUUAAAGCAGGGGCAGGCAUGCCGGGUUGGACGGCCCCCAUAGGUUUAAUUACAGCAUUAAUGGCCCUUAAAUCGGUUACCAUCCGCCAUUUGCCUGAUUUCUUUUUUACUAGAAACACAGGAGAAUUCCAAGGGGAAAGAGAAGGUUCCACAUUUCCAAGCUGUAACUGCUCAGAAACCAAUUGAUUUAAAGCCUCCAGUUUUUCUUUAGAAAGCGGCCACUGCUGAAUCCCAGGGCCACGUGUCUUAUCUCCUUUGUUUAAAAGGAUAUUAGGUAGUAAAAGCAAUUGAGCUUGUUUAACAUAGUAAAAGAAACAGGAGCUUGGGCUGGGGAGUGUAAUUUCUCCCAAGCUCUCAUACACACUUUUGUUACUUGUUCUGUGGUAAGAGUAUCAAAGUUUAAUUGGGCAUAAGCAUCAGAGAAACUAUCGGAGCCUGUGAGCUGAGCCUGAGUAAUUAGAAUGCCAUUACUCCGAUUUAGCUGAGCCUGUAAACAGGCCUCCUCUGACCACCAGGCUGAGAUGGACUUAGAACAGCUUUUUGCCAAAAGAUCACAGUCUAAAGGAAGCAAAACGACCUCAGUAUAAAAAGUUUGCAAUGCCAUUUGAACAUGAGGAAACGUAGGACCAUACUGAGUACAAGCAUCCUUAAAUUGUUUUUAAAAAGGUAAGAUUGAGCGGCGCAUAUCGACGCAGACUGGUUGAGGAACUGAAACGACAGGAGGGUGAGGGGUUGUAGUGGAUGGGGGAGGGCCCGGAGAAUGACAGGUAAAUUGUAGUUUGGUCCCAGAGCCAUUAGUUGAUGCUGGAGGUUUGAAGAGAGAAGAAUUAGCAUAUUUAUGGUACCGGGCUUUGUGAUUCACAGCCGCAGGAGUUUGAAGUACCGGCUUUUCAUGAGAAGAAGAAAAGCAGGGGGUAACUUUAAGCCAAAGUUACCAGAGUUAGAAAUCGAAUUUUCAGAAUCGUUAGGUAGGGGAGGGGUAACUGAAGGGAGAGUCUGAACGAAGGCCAUGUGCGAGAGGAAGGUUGAGAAAAAGGCAGAGAAACUGAGGAAAAGGCAGAAAACUGUGGCAACUGCAGGGGGUCACGAGAUUGGCAAGCCACGAAGAUGGCACGCACCAAGCACCCCAAACAGUGAUGGGAACACAAUACCCGGCCGAGACCAGUUUUCGGAAUGCUUUACGAACACUAUCACACAAUUUUAUAUACACGGUUCCUUUUUCAGGAAACCAAGAACAAUAUUUUUCUACUGCCCUGAAUAGAGUGAUCAUAUUUUUCAUGGUUACCUGUUUUAACAGGAGUUUGUUAGAUUACACAUUACCCAUAGUUAACCCAGACCUUACACAGAUUACUCACCACUCGUCGGGGAGUUGAACACGCUUAUCUGUGGACCAAGCCGAUUGACGUUUCACCGCACCUACCAAAGGGAAUCCGGUUCCCUCAUGCACUUAGGAAAAAAGAAAGACCACGUGGGCGCCAGAUAUCGGGAGACCUGCCCCGAUAAUCACGUAGGUUCUUUUCUAUUUUCCUAAGCGUCGACUUGCUUGAGAAAUAAAAGGACAGAGUACAAAAGAGAGAAAUUUUAAAGCUGGGCGUCCGGGAGAGACAUCACACAUUGGUAGGAUCCGUGAUGUCCCACAAGCCACAAAAACCAGCAAGUUUUUAUUAGGGAGUUUCAAAAGGGGAGGGAGUAUACAAAUAGGUGUGGGUGACAGACAUCAAGUACUUAACAGGAUAAUAGAAUAUCUCAAGGCAAGUGGAGACAGGGCGAGACCACAGGACCGAAGUGAAAUUAAAAUUGCUAAUGAAGUUUUGGCACCAUUGUCAUUGAUAACAUCUUAUCAGGAGACAGGGUUUUGAGAUCAACCGGUCUGACCAAAGUUUAUUAGGUGGGAAUUUUCUUUUCCUAAUAAGCCUGGGAGCGCUAUGGGAGACUGGAGUUUAUUUCAUCUCUGCAAUCUCGACCAUAAGAGACAGGUACGCCCCACGGGGCCAGUUCAGAGACCUACCCCUAGGUGCGCAUUCUCUUUCUCAGGGGCGUUCCAUGCUGAGAAAAGGAAUUCAGCGAUAUUUCUCCCAUUUGCUUUUGAAAGAAGAGAAAUAUGGUUCUGUUCUGCCCGGCUCACCGGCGGUCAGAGUUUAAGGUUAUCUCUCUUAUUCCCUGAACAAUUGCUGUGAUCCUGUUCUUUUUUCAGGGUGCCCACAUUUCAUAUUGCUCAAACACACAUGCUGUACAAUUUGUGUACCUAACGCAAUUAUUACAGGUCCUGAGACGAUAUACAUCCUUCUGGGCUGACAGGAUUAAGAGAUUAAAGUAAUGACAGGCAUAGGAAAUCACAAGGGUAUUGAUUGGGGAAGUGAUAAGUGUCCAUGAAAUCUUUACAAUUUAUGUUUAGAGAUUGCAGUAAAGGAAGGCAUAGGAAAUUACAAAAGUAUUAAUUUGGGGAACUAAUAAAUGUCCAUAAAAUCUUCAUAAUCCACAUUCUUCUGUCAUGGCUUCAGCCGGUCCCUCCGUUUGGGGUCCCUGACUUCCCGCAACACAGCACAGUGCCUGGCACAAAAGAGUUGCUCAAUAAAUAAAUCAGGAUGAAUAGAUAAAUACACGGAUAGGCACUUUGAACUACAGAUGAGCUUAAAUACUUUGUGUUUUUCUUAGUCAAACAUGUGCAAUUAAGCAUGUGAUAAAUGUUAUGAUGACCACACCUGUGUCUUGCCUGACGUUCUUUGCAAUCACUAAAUGAAGUCAAUUGUGCCUGUUUUGACAGUUCUAUUUUCAACCUAAUGAUCUGUUUAUUUUAACUUCUGGCUGUUGGCUUUGUUUGGGUGUGUUAGCCUGACAAAGUGGUAGAUAUUAGUAUUUGCUGUUUUGUUUAAAUGUCACGAAGUUUAAAAAUGCCUUUGCUUUUGGUAAGAAACCCUAGUUAGGACACUCUAGUGGUCAGGAUGAUUUGGGUUCUGGUGCAGUAACAACAAUCCCCAAAUCUCAGUGGCUCCAUGCAGUGAGGUAUUUGUUUGUUUGUUUUUGAGACAGG